This 311-nucleotide long non-coding RNA is filed under the name Sorghum bicolor (sorghum). RNAcentral describes it as "long non-coding RNA (SBIC_LNC015169)". The record is from RNAcentral. Lineage: Eukaryota; Viridiplantae; Streptophyta; Magnoliopsida; Poales; Poaceae.
UGUCCCAUUCAUCCCUUCAGACAGGCCUUGGGAGACCAUAUUCAGUGGAUCGUCUCAUGUUCUUCCGCCUCUCACAAAACUAUGUUCCGCGUUCUUGUCAUCGUUGCUGGAGAAUAGACCUGUUGGAAACGAGUGAGCCGCUCCAGAGCUAUGUCCCCUCAUACAACACUAGCCAGUUGCAAAAAUGGAAAUGCAGGAGGAAAUCCACUGACCUGAAGGCUAUCGAUGCAUGCCCACAAAGGCACAAGGUACUUCAGAGAUGCUGGGUGGUGCCGUCUGAGAUUGGUUACAGAAAUCACACGCGUGUGAGG